UUAAGUUGCAAGGUAUAGACCCGAAACCCGGUGAUCUAGCCAUGGGCAGGUUGAAGGUUGGGUAACACUAACUGGAGGACCGAACCGACUAAUGUUGAAAAAUUAGCGGAUGACUUGUGGCUGGGGGUGAAAGGCCAAUCAAACCGGGAGAUAGCUGGUUCUCCCCGAAAGCUAUUUAGGUAGCGCCUCGUGAAUUCAUCUCCGGGGGUAGAGCACUGUUUCGGCAAGGGGGUCAUCCCGACUUACCAACCCGAUGCAAACUGCGAAUACCGGAGAAUGUUAUCACGGGAGACACACGGCGGGUGCUAACGUCCGUCGUGAAGAGGGAAACAACCCAGACCGCCAGCUAAGGUCCCAAAGUCAUGGUUAAGUGGGAAACGAUGUGGGAAGGCCCAGACAGCCAGGAUGUUGGCUUAGAAGCAGCCAUCAUUUAAAGAAAGCGUAAUAGCUCACUGGUCGAGUCGGCCUGCGCGGAAGAUGUAACGGGGCUAAACCAUGCACCGAAGCUGCGGCAGCGACGCUGAUGCGUUGUUGGGUAGGGGAGCGUUCUGUAAGCCUGUGAAGGUGUGCUGUGAGGCAUGCUGGAGGUAUCAGAAGUGCGAAUGCUGACAUAAGUAACGAUAAAGCGGGUGAAAAGCCCGCUCGCCGGAAGACCAAGGGUUCCUGUCCAACGUUAAUCGGGGCAGGGUGAGUCGACCCCUAAGGCGAGGCCGAAAGGCGUAGUCGAUGGGAAACAGGUUAAUAUUCCUGUACUUGGUGUUACUGCGAAGGGGGGACGGAGAAGGCUAUGUUGGCCGGGCGACGGUUGUCCCGGUUUAAGCGUGUAGGCUGGUUUUCCAGGCAAAUCCGGAAAACUAAGGCUGAGGCGUGAUGACGAGGCACUACGGUGCUGAAGCAACAAAUGCCCUGCUUCCAGGAAAAGCCUCUAAGCAUCAGGUAACAUCAAAUCGUACCCCAAACCGACACAGGUGGUCAGGUAGAGAAUACCAAGGCGCUUGAGAGAACUCGGGUGAAGGAACUAGGCAAAAUGGUGCCGUAACUUCGGGAGAAGGCACGCUGAUAUGUAGGUGAAGUCCCUCGCGGAUGGAGCUGAAAUCAGUCGAAGAUACCAGCUGGCUGCAACUGUUUAUUAAAAACACAGCACUGUGCAAACACGAAAGUGGACGUAUACGGUGUGACGCCUGCCCGGUGCCGGAAGGUUAAUUGAUGGGGUCAGCGCAAGCGAAGCUCUUGAUCGAAGCCCCGGUAAACGGCGGCCGUAACUAUAACGGUCCUAAGGUAGCGAAAUUCCUUGUCGGGUAAGUUCCGACCUGCACGAAUGGCGUAAUGAUGGCCAGGCUGUCUCCACCCG
RNAcentral lists this ribosomal RNA (1351 nucleotides) under Escherichia coli. RNAcentral describes it as "partial 23S ribosomal RNA". It matches the Rfam family "Bacterial large subunit ribosomal RNA", at positions 695 to 2028 of the family's 2925-position model. Lineage: Bacteria; Pseudomonadati; Pseudomonadota; Gammaproteobacteria; Enterobacterales; Enterobacteriaceae. The record is from RNAcentral.